Stegodyphus dumicola is the source of this 841-nucleotide long non-coding RNA. RefSeq lists it as uncharacterized. The record is from RefSeq and is a predicted model, not a curated record. Lineage: Eukaryota; Metazoa; Arthropoda; Arachnida; Araneae; Eresidae.
AAACCUAAAUGAACGAUCUUGUAUCCCCGGUGUAUUUAAAGCACAGAUGCAGCUGCCGACGGCAAAUUUUUAGUAGUGCAAACUGGUUGUAACAGCAAGUGAUUUUAUGACUAAACCGACAACAAGACAGUUGGAAAGACGACACCGUUCUAAAAGGUUCGCAUUUAAGAAAUUCUCCGACAAGAUUUGUUUUACUUUUCGUUUCUCAUAAGUUUUCGUAAAGAGACCCAGAACUUUUGACUGCAUUUGAAAGUUGUGCAGCAGAAUGCAGCUCAGGAUUUUCAACCCGUUCGGAAUACUGAUUUUACUGAUAUUAAUAUUUUCAGAAGUUAUUAGUAAGCCUUUAGAAAAAAAAUUAAUUUCCACCCUACUCACAGUACCGCAUCAAACCCAAAUUCAGGAGUCUCGGCAGUUCAUCGGAUCUAGUGUUAUUGGUGGAUUAAUGUCACCAGUGCUUUUAACAUUGCUUGUCACAGCUAUAAUGGCUCGUAUUCCAGACGCGCUGCAACGUUUACUUUCUGGUAGUGGAGGAGGAAGUUCUAAGUAUUUAUUCAGGAAUGGAUUAAAUGAUCAACAGGAGCGUUUAGAUCAGUUCAAUAAAAUUUUUCAGACUGCAGUGAACAAAAUGGAAAAUUGACUUUGAACUAAAUAAAUAAGGAAGUUCAUCUCACCUCUCAUUUGACUGAGACACUUGUAGAUGUACUAUGAGCAGCUCUUAUAAGCCCAGGGGGUUUUUAAUUGCAAAAAAAAAAAAAAAAAAAAAAAAACAUUACCGAGCUCGUGACUUCUUGUCACAUUUUAGUAGUUAUUUGAAUAUUAUAUGAAAGUAAUAAAAGAACUU